RNAcentral lists this long non-coding RNA (224 nucleotides) under Capsicum annuum. Its description in RNAcentral is "long non-coding RNA (CANN_LNC010372)". Lineage: Eukaryota; Viridiplantae; Streptophyta; Magnoliopsida; Solanales; Solanaceae. The record is from RNAcentral.
UUUAGGCAAUUCCGCAUGUGCAGAUAAUCUUACGUGUAAAGUGUCUACGUGUAAGUAAGGAAGAACAAAAGGUAUUUCUUGGCUUUUUUAUGAGUGGUGGCCUGAGUGUCAACGUUGGUAAGGGAUGAUGAGUUAAUCUGACUUGAAAAGCCAGAUAAAAUAUGAUUAGACAUUUUUUGAACCCCUAUUUGCUUACUAGGAGGUGCUAAGGAUGGGGUAUAGGG